Molecule: ribosomal RNA, 407 nt
Filed under: uncultured bacterium
Lineage: Bacteria
Description: bacterial SSU rRNA
Rfam family: Bacterial small subunit ribosomal RNA
Source: RNAcentral
UGGGGAAUAUUGCACAAUGGGCGCAAGCCUGAUGCAGCGACGCCGCGUGAGGGACGACGGCCUUCGGGUUGUAAACCUCUUUUGGCAGGGAAGAAGCGAGAGUGACGGUACCUGCAGAAAAAGCACCGGCUAACUACGUGCCAGCAGCCGCGGUGAUACGUAGGGUGCAAGCGUUGUCCGGAAUUAUUGGGCGUAAAGAGCUCGUAGGCGGUUUGUCGCGUCUGCUGUGAAAACCCGAGGCUCAACCUCGGGCCUGCAGUGGGUACGGGCAAACUAGAGUGCGGUAGGGGAGAUUGGAAUUCCUGGUGUAGCGGUGGAAUGCGCAGAUAUCAGGAGGAACACCGAUGGCGAAGGCAGAUCUCUGGGCCGUAACUGACGCUGAGGAGCGAAAGCAUGGGGAGCGAACA